This 36361-nucleotide long non-coding RNA is filed under the name Lactuca sativa (garden lettuce). RNAcentral describes it as "long non-coding RNA (LSAT_LNC009438)". The record is from RNAcentral. Lineage: Eukaryota; Viridiplantae; Streptophyta; Magnoliopsida; Asterales; Asteraceae.
UUGCACUCCUUACCAUCGUGCUAUGAUCAAUUCCGCAUGACAUAUCACAUGAAUAAGGAAGAGGUCACACUCAGCAAACUUCAGGGACUUCUCAAGACCGCAGAAACAGGUCUUAAGGGGAAGUCGGUUGUUAACACUCCUACUCCAAACUCUACUCCGGUUUUGGCAAUCGGGAAAAGUCGAGGGAAGAAGAGAAAGAGCUCUUCGAAGGGUACCAAGGCUAGGACCCUUGAUGGCUCUUCUUCAAGUGGAACCAAGAAAGGUUUCAUCACUCCUUCUUCUGACCCAAAAGAGGCUGAAUGCUUCUAUUGCCAUGAAAAGUCACAUUGGAAGCGGAACUGCCCAAAGUACCAGCAAGAUGUGAAGGAUGGGAAAGUUAAACCCAACCAUGCAGGUAUUUACACUAUCAUAUCUAAUAACUCACCCCAUUCUAAAUCUUGGGUCCUUGAUACCGGUUGUGGUAUUCAUAUUUGUUGUGACUUGCAGGGACUAAGAAGAAGUGAGAAUGUGGAGCAAGGAAGAAUAAACUUAAUCAUGGGGAAUAGGAAAGCUUUACCUGUCACCAAGAUUGGAGUUUAUACUUUAUCGCUAAGUAGUGGGUUUAGUUUAGAUUUGAAUAAGUGUUGUUAUUCGCCAGAAAUGGCAAGAAAUAUUAUUUCCUUUCAUGCAUUGUAUAAACAAGGUUUCACCUUUUCAUUUGAUAAUGAAGUUGGUUCGAUUAAUGCUUUCUUUAAUAAUGUUCUUUAUUUUAAAGCAUUACCUUGUGAUAGUGUGUAUAAAACUGUAUCUGUGGUUGAUAACUUAGGAAAUAAUGUUUUGUGUAUUGAUUCUGUUAAUGAUAACAACUUGGAUAAAGCAUCAUUACGGCAUUUUCGUCUUGGACAUAUAAGCAAGAGGGGUGAAAGUUUGUUGGAUCUAGUACACACGGAUGUGUGUGGGACCUUCAAACAUGCCACAAGGGAUGCUAAUCAUUACUAUUUGACUUUUACUGAUGAUUAUAGUAGAUAUGGAUAUGUCUACUUAAUCAGGCAUAAGUCAGAGACUUUUGAGAGGUUUAAAGAGUUUAAACAGGAAGUCGAGAAUCAAUUGGGCAGGAACAUUAAGAUGCUUCGAUCCGAUCGAGGUUGUGAGUAUCUUAGUUCAGAGUUCCUCGACUAUCUUUGGGAAUGUGGGAUUGUCUCACAAUUGACACCUCCUAGGACACCGCAAUUGAAUGGUGUGGUUGAGAGGCGUAGUCGAACCUUGUUGGACAUGGUUCGUUCCAUGAUGAGUCGAGCUUCGCCACCAAUCUCAUUUUGGGGGUAUGCCUUAGAGACUGCCACCCAUAUCCUUAAUCUGGUCCCUACAAAGAAAGUUGCCAGAACUCCUCAUGAGAUGUGGACUGGUAAAGUACCCAAACUAGACCACAUCAAGAUUUGGGGUUGCGAGGCUUUCGUGAGACGCGAGACUCAUGAUAAGCUCGAACCCCGAAGCGAGAGGUCUAUUUUCAUCGGCUACCCACAACAAUCCUUUGGUUACCUCUUCUACAGACCUAGUGAAAAUGUGGUCUUUGUAGCUAGGAGGGCGUUCUUGAGAGAGAGAGAGAGAGAGAGAGAGAGAGAGAGAGAGAGAGAGAGAGUUCAUAAACCAAGGAAACAAUGGGAGGCAGGUUGACCUUGAAGAAAUUCAAGAGUCAAGCGGUGAAGGAACUUCAAACCCUAGCACUCAACUUGAGGAGGUAACUCCUGUUGAGCCAAUUGUCAAGUCUGUACCUCUGAGGCGUUCCACAAGGGUUAGGAAUGCACCUGAGCAUUACUAUGGAUACCAUAUUACUGCAGAAGGUGAUACACUUAUCAGUGAUGAGACACUGAUAGGUAUGGAUGAACCUAAACAGUUAUGUGGAAGCCAUGGCAGGCCCUGAGUCAGCCAAGUGGAAAGAGGCAAUGGACAGCGAGAUACAGUCCAUGUAUGACAAUCAAGUUUGGAACUUGGUUGAGAAUGUACCAGGUCGUAAGACUAUAGGGUGAAAAUGGAUCUUCAAGAAGAAAACCGACAUGGAUGGUAAUGUACACACUUAUAAGGCACGACUGGUUGCAAAGGGUUUCUCACAAACUCCAGGAGUUGAUUAUGAUGAGACCUUUUCUCCAGUGGCCAAGAUUAAGUCUAUUAGGGUUCUGUUAGCCAUAGCCGCAUUUCAUGACUAUGAAAUAUGGCAAAUGGAUGUCAAAACCGCUUUCCUUAAUGGAAAGUUGGCUGAGGAUGUUUACAUGAGUCAGCCAGAAGGUUUUGUCAGCAACGAGUACCCUAAUAGAGUGUGUAAGCUUGAGAAAUCCAUUUAUGGAUUGAAGCAAGCACCUCGCAGAUGGAAUCUUUGCUUUGAUGAAAAGGUCAAGGAAUUUGGCUUUUCUAGGAGUGAAGAUGAAUCUUGUGUGUAUGUCAAGGCUAGUGGGAGUAUAGUUAGCUUUUUGGUAUUGUAUGUGGAUGACAUACUACUCAUAGGAAACGACAUUCCAACCCUGCAGGAAGUAAAGUCCUGGCUUGGGAAGUGUUUCGCUAUGAAGGACCUUGGUGAAGCUGCCUAUAUUUUAGGGAUAAGAAUCUUGAGAGAUCGGAGUAAAAGACUAAUUGGACUUAGUCAGAGUACCUACUUGGAUAAGGUGCUGAAGAGAUUCAGCAUGCAGGAUUCCAAGAAAGGAGAGUUACCCAUCCAGAGUAACACCAGAUUGAGUAAGACACAAAGCCCUAGCACUGAGGCUGAGAUAGCAGAAAUGAGUCGAACACCUUACGCUUCGGCUGUAGGAUCGAUCAUGUAUGCUAUGACGUGUACUCGACCUGAUGUAGCCUUUGCCUUGAGCAUGGUUAGUAGGUAUCAAGGGAACCCUGGCAAGGCACACUGGACUAUGGUAAAGAAUAUACUCAAGUACCUACAGAGGACUAAGGACUGGGUUCUUACCCUCGAUGGGAGUGAUGACUUGAGAGUUGUAGGGUAUAGUGAUGCUAGCUUCCAGACUGAUAGGGAUAAUUUCCGCUCUCAGUCGGGCUGGGUCUUUACCCUAAACGGAGGAGCAAUUUCUUGGAAGAGUUCCAAGCAAGAGACAGUGGCAGAUUCUACUUGUGAAUCAGAGUAUAUUGCAGCUAGCGAAGCAGCAAAGGAGGCGAUAUGGCUGAAGAACUUCAUUGGAGACCUUGGAGUUGUACCAGCUAUUAAGGAGCCAAUGUAAAUUUUUUGUGAUAGUGAAAGUGUUGUUGCCUUAGCCAAGGAACCCAGGGAUCACAGGAGAUCCAGACACAUCGACAGAAAAUACCAUUUCAUUAGACAUCGAAUAGAAGGACUCCUCGUGGCAAAGAGGGUAUCAUCGGAUGAGAAUCCAGCAGAUCCCCUCACGAAGGGACUGACUCGGGUUAAGCAUCUCCAGCAUGGUCGGAGCAUAGGGCUGAAGGAUGAUAUUAUAUUUAGUAGUUAGAUAACCUUGAAAUUUGUAAAGUGUAAUUGACAUUAGAUGAUGAAUAAAAGGUGUUUUAUUUAUGAGUAAACUAUUGCUAUCUCUUUCGAUCGUUUACUAUAUUUCUUUUGAAUCUUUUGACUUCCACAAUAGUUAUGUUUGGUAUAUCAUAUUAUUUGAACCUCCACAGUCGGUCAUAUGUCAAAAGUAGGUAUGAAUCAAGACUGUCAUGAUUGGUUGCAGAGGUCUAACGUGUGGGACAUGGCUACAACAAUCAUGAGUGCUCAUAAGUUCUGAGCAUUGGACUCAACCCACGCUCACUGGAAUCACUUCAUGGAAUUUAUCUCGAGUGAUUGUGAGACGGUAAUAUCAUAUAAGUCUUCAAAUCUAGAGUUAUGAUUUGUUACUUAUGAGUUGGUUAUGCACUUAUUGUACGAAAAAGCAUUGGAAACUCGAUGUUAUAAAACGUGCUUUUGUGUAUAAUUCAACGAGUAGUAUAACAAACAUAUGGGUCGAAGUUUAUCUGUUCCUUCUUGGAUUAGAAGCUGAUAUCUGGGCCCCUCGAUGAUUUUGUUUUGACCUAUGUACCGGGCCCGGUCAGAACCAAGUUAAUGUGUUCAAUUAAGUUCUUUGUUAAACAAAUCAAAAAUCGGGAAACAAACUACUGGAAAAUAAGUAAGACAUUGUUCCAUGUAUUUCUCUGGCUAAUAUCUAGAACAGAGGAUUAUAUGAUCAUUUAUCUUAAAUGGCAUAAUGCAAUUGUAUUGACUAAAUGAGAGAAAUAACACUUGUGGAUUAUUAAUAUAUUAUAAGUUCUAAUAUAUUAAUAAUAUUAUUUAAUUAGUUUGAUCAAAAAUUAAUUUAGAAUUAAUUAAGUGAUCAAAAGAUAACUAAUUAAAUAUAUGGGUUGAUUAUGUAAAUCAUCCAUAUCUUGUAUAGUGGGCUAAGAGGCUCCAUGGAUUAUCAAGUUGGGUUCCACCCAUAGGAUGCUCCAUGGGAGUUACAAACCGAUGGGUCAUGGAAAUGAAGAGUCAUGACACAUUAGGGUUUACAUGGUGUAACCCUAGAUGUGUCAACACUAUAUAAGCAACCCAUUCUCCACCAAAAUCGGGUACACACAUGAACAAGUGAGGGCUAGGCCGAUUUUUGCAAGUGUAAGAUUCUUUCAAAGUCUACUCCUUUGCAUUUGGUGUUGUGUGAAGCAUUUGAGGCAUCACACUUGGGGUGCUAGGCUCACAAGGUUUCAAGGAUCAUAAGCAACAAUAAGGUAAGUUAUUCUAUCGUCCAUUCAAGUUAAAAAUUGUCCCGUAUUUAUGCUAGAUAGGAAUAUAACCUUGGAAUUCAACUUUGCAUGAUAAUUAGACAAACAUAGAUCCAAGGUUAUUAGGGUUGCAUGUACACUUAGGAAGUGUUAGAAUGCUCAAAACCCAUCACAUAGAUCCAAAAGCUAGAUGCUUAAGCUAUUCUCUUUCAAAGCUCCUUCUUCUUCAAAAGCCAAACAUAACAAUUCAUCACUCCACUAGAUCCACAUGAGAAAGCCACCAAGAUUCAAACUUUAUGCUUUCUAGAACUAGAUCAACCUAAGUAGGGCUUGGAUCCACAAGCUCUAAGCCAAGCAAUGCUUCCUCAAGGGACUCCUUCUUCCACAAUAUGCACCAAAAACUCACUAAAUCACCAAAAUGAUCAAGAAUCACUCAAAUGGAGGCUUGGGGCGAUUUCUAGGGCUUAGAGAGAUCGAGGCUGGAGAUAUUAGGGUUAGGUUAUGAGAUAAGGAGCUUAAAUAGGGUCCAAGACCCUAAAAUAGGGUUCAGGUCAUAUUAGUGUACGCCCAGCAUACUCCGAAGAACAUUCGCGACUACCCCUAGUCAGUACGCCCAACGUGCUUCCUUUUUCACUAGUACGCCCAGCGUACGCUUUGUGUAUGCCCAACGUACGCUUUGUGUACGCCCAACAUACUUGGCUAAGCCUGAAACCACAAAACUUCUGAAGGCCACAACUUCUUCAUUAUAAAUCCGUUCCGACGAUCCUUAUAUCCACAAAAACGUAACGAGAAGCCCGACACUUUUAUCAACUUUAUUCCUCCUGAAGCCCACUCUAACUCAGAUCCAAAUUUCAUGAAAAGUCCGAACCAUCGCUUUUAACAAUACAUUUGGGAUCUAAAGCACAAACCGAACUCUUUUAUCACACAACCUACCUUACCCGCAUCCCAAAAGGGCCUAAACCUUUCUCUUUCAAAGCCUCAAAACCUUCUCAUACUCGGAUUGAGGCCCAUAGGCCUUAAAUCAUAAAACUAUCCAGAACAGGAUGUUACACUGAGCCUCUUAAGAUACCUUUCCAUUGUUUGGGAACAAUGGUGGUAUUCAUUUGCAACAAGUAUUAGUGCUCUGUUCGAGCCUCCAACAUUGUUGCAAACGUUUAAUGAUAAAGCUUGUGCCAUAUUUCCUUCGUUUUGUUUUUUUUAUUAUUUUCAACAAUGAGCUUUAGUGGUAUAGAAGGCUUUUGAAAAUCAGAUUUUGUUUAAAAAGCAACCAUUUUGGCUCUGAUACCAAUUGUUGAGAGAGAAACUUUUGAGAAACACUUGAACAAACGUGAGAACAAGGUAAUAGUUGCGGAAUAAGCUAAUCUCAAAGGAUCAAGUUAGCUCAACAAUAAUAAGUUAGAAGUGUGAGAUGGUUAGUUUCGGAAAUGUAAAGGAAAUAUAAAUGACAACAAGUUAUAUCAAGUAAACAUCAAACUGAUUCAUAACAAGGUUUGUAGUACAAAACGAGUUAGUAAAUAUGAACAGUUUAAGAUGAAGAGGAUCUUAGAUAUUAAAUAAGAUGGAGAUAUGAGAGAAUGAUCUUUGUAUUUCUGUAUUAGCUCAAAAAUCAUGAAAGUAGGGUACUAUUACAUGAAGAAGGGAGUCUCUAUUUAUAGAGUCCCAAAAAGUUACAUCUGAAAUAAACAACUAAUAUUCUCCUGACUUAAGUGACCAUGAAAGGUUCACUGGAUAAAGCUAAGCUAACACGCUAAGUCAGUUAACGUUACUAAAAGUCUUCAUCAUUCUUCACUGCGGUAGUGGUUACAGUUGACUACGGUUCAAAAAAAAACUUCUUCAACUUCGGUAGACAGAUUGUAAUACCCAGUUCCUGGUAAAUAUGUAAAUUCAAGUAUUGUUGUAUUUAACUCUGGGACUCGGUGAGUUGGAGGCCCAACUCGUCGAGUAGACUCGACAUUAUGCGGGGGUUUUAAGUGACCUACACGACGGUCGGGAGAUCGAUUCGAUGAGUAGGAGUUUUCUGGACAAAACCCUAAUGUUUAGGGUUUGCAACCUAUUUAAACACUUUAUCUCGUCCCAAACCAAUCUCCAUCACCCUUCCAACUCAGUGAAACCCUAGACUGAAACGCUGAACCCUUAUUGAGUGUUCUAGAGCCUUUUUGGUGCUUUUGGUGUGUGUUUGAAGUUAGAGAAGAAGAAGAAGAAGAAGAAGAAGAAGAAGAAGGCUUGGAGGUUCAGGUAGAAGCAAGGAGAUCCAGAAGUUUUACUUCAUUUGCAGCUCAUUCAAGGUAAAAAGCUGGAACCUUGACCAUCUAUCUCUUAGAUUUUGAGUUGGGGCUAUUUCUACCCUUUUUAUGAGUUUAGAGAAGCAAAAAUUGGAUUUGUGGGUGUGCUUAGAGUUUCACUUCAGAUCUAAAGCUAUUGGGGGUCUUUAUGGCAUAAAGGUGCCAACUUUGUUGCCAUAAAUACCCCAUGCAUCAUGUAGACCUCCUUUUUGGCUUUUUGAACCAAAGACCCCAUGCAUGUACAUCAAGUUUGUAGCUUUACGUAUGAAAUGGACCCUAGGAGGCCAGAUCUAUGGUUUUGAUAUGUUAAGACCCAUUAUAAUAGAUUGAAUAGUGUUGGACAAAGAAGGACUCGGCGAGUGACUUGGGUGACUCGGCGAUUCGGNNNNNNNNNNNNNNNNNNNNNNNNNNNNNNNNNNNNNNNNNNNNNNNNNNNNNNNNNNNNNNNNNNNNNNNNNNNNNNNNNNNNAGCUAAGGGUGUGUUUUGGACCUGGAAAUCAUAGGACUCGGCGAGUCCAAGGCAAUGUCCCAACCUCAUGAAGACGGACUCAACAAGUUCAUGGAGAACUCGGCGAGUCAGAGGCUAGACUCAUUCAUUCAGAUGAAGAUGAACUCGGUGAGUUCAAGAACGAACUUGGCGAGUCGGUUGAAGAUAGUCAAAAGGUGUUGUUGAAGAUGAGAUCGUCGAGCUCUUGCUAGACUCGACGAGUAAGGACGAGAUUAUAACAGUAGGUGGACAUGGGGACUCGACGAGUUGGUGGAUCAACUCGGCGAGUCGGGUCAAUCAGACAUUGACUUUGACCAAAGUUGACUUUGACCAGGGUUUGACCUUGACUUUAACCGGGAUUGGGUUGACCCUUGUAAGGGGGUUAUGAGUAUGUAUUAGUAAUCGAGAAAGGUUGUUGUGUAGGGAUUGAGGAGUAGAGACGAGUUUAUUCCCAUACCAAGGACAGUGCAGAUACUACACUACAUCGAGGUGAGUUACCUUCUAGUAGAAAUGGGUCUAAGGCCACAAUGUUGGCCCAUCAUCAGGAGUUGCUUGAUAGAUGAUUGUCUUUGUGAUAGUUAUCUAAGUUUGCUAUUAUCUAUUAUGUUGGAUGUGCUAGUGUGAUAUGACGUUACGUGAUAGUGGUAGUAGGGGGAAUAGUCCCCGGUUACCGGUCGAUGGGGCCAAAUGGGGGGNNNNNNNNNNNNNNNNNNNNNNACAGUAUGUUUAUCUUAUGUUAUGUAUAUAUGUGGUGGUGGUGGUAGGGGUGAAAUAGUCCCCAUAACCGGUUGAGAUACACCGGAGGAUAGGUCGGGCCCCCAUAUAUGCCUGACAGGGUAGGUCGGGUACCCAUAUAUGCUUGAUAGGGUAGGUCGGGCACCCAGAUGUGCCUGGCAGUAUGUGAUUUGUAUAGUAUGUGGUAUGAUGGGGGAACUCACUAAGCUUUGUGCUUACAGUUUUUAGUUUUGUUUCAGGUACCUCUUCGAUGAAGGGGAAGGAGCCAGCGCGUUAGCGGUACAACACACACUCAUCAGUUUUCCGACUAAGUUAUAUAAUUAAAAGUGAAAUUUUUGGACUCGAAUUUUGGGAUGUUACAAGUUGGUAUUAGAGCCUUGGUUUGAGGGAUUCGGACACACCUUCGGGGGUUGUUUGGACUCAAAUCAACGGUUUAAAAGGUUUUUCACAAGAAAAAUGUUUUCCAAAAGAUUAAGUAAGAAGUUUUGAGAAAGAACGAGGUGUGUGAUGUAUGUGACCGGCGAGCUCAAGUAAGUUUUCCCCAAGAUACCCAUACAUGUUAUGUUAUAUUAUGGUAUGAUUAUUAGAAUUGCAUGCUAGAUUAGGGCCAAGGAUCUAGGAAGAUGCGUGUUAUGUCCGUUAUAUGUGCUUAUUGAGCUGCAUGAUAGUGCUAAGUAUCGGUGAUAUGAUGACCUGGAUAGGAUAUGUUUGAUUUCCCAAUGCCCGAAUGUUUCCUGCUUCGUGCUACUAGGAGUUCUAGUUACCUUUAAUUAACUAGUAACAAAUACGUUAAGUUACAUAUUAUGAGGACUAAAUAAUUUCAGAAGGUUAGGUCUAGCCCUACUUCGCAGCCCUUGUUUGAGUCCAACCAUUGUAGGGCAGGAUCUCUCAUUCAAAGAAUUAUCUGGUCUCAAUAAUAUGUAAUAGUAUUCGCAAGCUAGUUAGGGAGAGAUAACAUGGACUUCUUAUGCAACUGAUUACGGAGAGUAAGCUGUAGGGUUACCUUAGAGUAAGCCUAGGAUGAGAAUAGUGCAAUGAGCAGUGGUAGUAGGAGUGACUUGGUGAAGUCAAGGCAAUCCUUGAGCAAAGUAUGGAUAGAUGUGGAAGGUAGUAUGGGCCCAUACUACUGAAAGCAGAUGAUCCGUACUCGAGUCAAGGAGGGCCGAGAUAGAACCAAGGAAAUUUUUUAGUAUGUAAGACCUCUCGAGAUUGUGUAUGACCCAGACAUUAUGCAUUUUGUUUCAGAAUGGUGAUGACUACGCGUCACGGAGCAGGAGGAUCGGGAUCAGGAUCUGGCUUGGGAUCAGGUUCGGGAUUAGGUGCCAAGCAAGUUGACGAGGGGCUAUGUGAUUUCAUUUCUUUUGAGAUCACUAGAGGCAUCCUUGAGGCGACCCCGAUUAUCUUUGGGUCGGUCAGGGAAGGGAUCAUAGAGCUAAUGGAGGAUCGCCUUAGGGCAUUCCGAAGCGACAUGGCAUCUGGUCAAUCAGGGUCGCACACACUAUCCUUCAAGGACUUCAGGGGGAGUGGUGUGCAGGAUUUCCACGGGGCGAAGGACUCCAUCAUGGCCAGGAGAUGGAUUACAGACAUCGAGUUUGCACAGUUGACUAGCUUCUGCCCUGAUGGGUCGAAGGUUCGGUUUGCUGCUGGAUGUUUGAGGGAUAGGGCUAGGGAUUGGUGGGAGUCAGUUGGUGACUCUUUGGGAGCCUCGAUCAUCGAGGCUAUGACCUGGGCAGAAUUUGUGACCAGGUUCAGGGUGGAGUUUGUGUCGGCUGUGGAGCUUCAGCAGCUGGCCAGGGAGUUUCACGAUAUGAGGCAGACUACAGAGACGGUGGCGGAGAUUACCGCCAAGUUUUGAGAGAGGUCAUUGUUGGUGCCUCAGUAUGCGGGAGAUGAGGAGAUGCAGAUGACCAACUACCAUGAUAUGUUGAGAGCUGAUAUCAGGGAGCAUGUCAACUACUAAGCGUGCCUGACCCUGGAGUCCAUGAUUUCCAGGGCAAGGGAGAGGGACCUCGAUAUAGUGCACCUAUGGAAGAGGAAGGCAGAGACUGAGCAGGGUACUGGGGUUUCAAGGAUGAAACCCAAGGGAUUUGAUGCUAAGUCGAAGGGCCUUCAGGGUCGGAGCCGUUGUAGGAUGUGUGGCAGGCCACAUGAGGAGGCAUGUAGAUUAGGGUCAUCGGGCUGCUAUAAUUGCGGCAAGACGGGGAACUUUAUUAGGGAUUGUGUCACACCCCAAAACCUGAACGGCGGAAACAUUACGGGGCAGAGGACGUCAUGUACAGUAUCACAACAAUGCAGAAUAGUAAACAAGCAACAACAUCAUCCAUUGCAUUAAUAAUAUAAUUUUAAUACAAGUGUGUUCUAUAUAGUUUAUAAGACACCAAAAAUAUGAAUCAAAAUAAGAGACGAGUCUUGAGAGCGCCGUCUUCUCAAAACCUAGCAUUGGUACCUGUCUACUGAUGACCUAAGAAUACAAGUUAAUUUGAAAGGCUUUAUUAGCUUUAAAGCUGGUGAGUUCAUAAGCAUUUUAGUGUCAUUUUUUGAAUGAAAAUGUUUGUAGUGUUUGAUGUAUAAGUUUGUAAAUGUUUGUAGUAAAUGUUUGUAUCGCCUAGAAAAUCCUAUAUAUUCUACUAAAUAGUAGCCUUCUACCAAUGCAUCAAAUGUUCCGUAUGUUUGUUUCUUGUAAAAGUAUGUAUUUUUCCCAAGUGUGACUAUCAUUAACAAAAUAUAGUUUUUAUAUUACCGUUUAUGUGAGAAGAUCACAAUGUGAAUGCAAUAGGAAAAUAAUAAAGUAGUGUAGUGUUGUAUAUAGUAACUACUGUUGUACUAACUACCUUAAACCGGUUGUUAAUUAAGCUAUAAUGUGAUAUUAUUAUAACCAUACUUGAUCGACUAGUAAAACACGACGCUCGAAGACGUCAAAAUGGUAUGACAUUCGUCACCCGUAGACCUGCAUGUCCCACUGUAGCUAGCAGCAUGGUGUAGGACGGUCAGUCCCGUAUAAAUCUAUACACAAAUUCAUGCUCUCCCUCCAGGAGACUCUGGUUACAAAACGAGCCACAACAGUGAUCCCAUGCCCCGAAGUAGUGGCUCACAUUUAUGUUAUAGUAUUCUUGUAUAUGUAUUGUAUGUACUAGUGUAGUGUAUGUUCUCUCUGUCUAGUAUGUAGUAUGUUCUCUCUGUUUCUCAUGAUAGUAUGUUCUCUCGUAUAGUGUAUUGUAUGUAUUGUUUCUCGUUAUAGUAUUCUCUAUUUGUUGCUCUUUAUAGUGAGUAUUGAUUCUCGUUAUUGUAUGUAUUGACUCAUGUAAGAACUGACUCUAUGUAUGUUUCAUUGUACUAUAAAUAGUGAGUAGUGACUUCCUAUACUAUACCUAUUAUUGUUUACUUGCAGAGUUGUUUGUAUGACUGAGUGUGCAGAACUGAGAUAAAAGCUUUUAUGUCCAUAGAUAUAUACAUAAUAUAUAACUAAGGAUGAAACAACACUCGGACAAACAACAGGGUACUCUAAGUCCACAACCAAACAAGGAAUAAGAAAAUAAAGUGAGUUAUCAGUCCUAAGUGCUUCCAACCUUACUUAUAUAACUAUAUAUGCAUUUGACAUGGUUUUGACAAUAUAUAUAUAAGUUUAAAAGAGGUAAAAGAAACGGUUUGGCAUAUAAGAACAAGUUUGAUAAAGAGUUUAGUAUGUAAAAGAGUUUGAUAAACAUUUGAAGUAUUUGAAAUCCAUAUGUUUGAUAGUUAUUAAUCACAUGUGAUUGAUAUAAUAACUAUAAAGUUUCAACUUGUAUUCCCCCCCCCCCCUAAACGCAUUUAAAAUCAUUUAAUAGAUAAAUUAAGGGGUAUGAACUCACCUAUAGUGAGUAACUCGAAUGUAAGAUCGAUAAGGGUUGCUAAGUGUCAAGUAAAGGCUUGAGCACACACGGAUCCUAUUUAGCAUAUAAUGACACAUAAGUGUGUCUAAUUAGUGAUUAUAACAUCUAAUCAUGAAAUGAAACCACCUUAGGGACUAGGAAGCACUUGUAAUGAAGUGUUACACCACAUAGGGUUGCAUAUAAGGGGUGUAGGGCCUCACAUUGGAGUUUACGGCCCAAAUGGCAUGACCAAGGAAGUUCAUGGCCAUGAGUUUACGGCCACAUGAUUUUACGGCCGUAAACUAAUGAUGAAAAGUGUCAAAUGGUGUUUUAAAGGGAUUUCAAGCAUUGAGGAAGGUUUCUAGGUUCAUGUCCAAGCCUUAGGAGGAGUUUAAGGUCCAAAUGCACUUCAAACUAGGGUUUACAGCCAAUGGAGACGCUCCUCGCCGUAAACACCUCAUGUUCCUGAGAAAAGCUUGUUUUCAAUGCUAGAAUUAAGAGUCUUAACUAGAUAUCAAGUGUAUAAGAGGGUACUUAUGAUUUAGAAUCUUAGAAUAGAUUUCGGCCCAAAGAACUUAUGUGUUCUUGAUGUUCUUGAGGAUCUUGAAGAUCUAGACCCUAAAGAUGGAAUUCAUGGGUGAAUUCAAAGGUGAUUCAAGAAUAAGAGAUGUAUUAACACAUAGAUGGAAGGAAUCACUUACAUUUUGUGGUUUCUGAAGCAAGAUCCUAUGAUACUUAAGAGAGUUUUCGAGUUCCAAGCCUUGGAAAUGGAAAAAGUGAAGAAAAAUGGCCAAGCCUCAUACUUAUACCCUAGAGUUUAUGGCCAUCAUGAGUUUACGGCCGUAAACUCAUGUGUCUUGGUCAUAAACUCAUCAUUGAGGGGUUUAUGGCUUGAUUGUUGGUUUUCAACUUCAGUUGACACAUAAAAACACUUAAUCCCUUGAUAUACUAGGCUUAGAAUGCUCAAAUAGACUCUUAAACAGUGCUAAAAGUCAGUAGAAACAAGUCUGACUUUGAUUGAAUUGAAUGGUUGUACAAGAAAGAAAUUCCGGGUUGUCACAGAUUGUACCGCCCCUGCGCCCACUUUUCAUAGAUUAUGUUCUGAGGUUAUUUGAGGAGCGUUACUUGGUAGACUUGGUUCCCAUCCUGUUGCGUGGGAACAAGGUGAUUAUAUGUAUGGAUUGGUUGAGCCCCAAUGGGGUGGUGAUAGACUGCGUGCAACAAUUAGUGCGAGUCAAGACCCCCGGUAGGGGAGAGCUGGUGAUUCAGGGCGAGAGGCUACAGCGUGGACCGGCAUUAUGUUCAGCAGCAAGGGCUAGGCGCUACCUUCAGCAGGGUUGUGCUGGGUAUAUCGCCUAUUUAAUGGAUACCCGGGAGGCGGGCAAGGCGUCGAUGAGUGAUGUACCUGUGGUGCGAGAUUACACAGAUUUAUUCCCGAAGGAGCUGCACGGGAUACCCGCAGAGCGACAGGUGGAGUUCUGGAUCGACCUAGUCCCUGGUGCGGCUCCGAUAGCCAACGCACUGUAUCGGUUGGCUCCUCCCGAGAUGUAGGAGUUGUCUAUGCAGUUGCAGGAGCUGCUAGACAAGGGUUUAACAGACCGAGUAGUUCACCCUAGGGAGCCCCGAUACUGUUUGUGAAGAAGAAGGAUGGGUCGCAUCGGAUGUGUAUAGAUUACCGAGAGCUGAACAAGGUAACAGUGAAGAACCGUUACCCACUCCCGAGGAUAGAUGGCUUUUUUGAUCAGCUUCAUGGAGCAUCAUGGUUCUCCAAGAUUGAUCUAUGGUCAGGGUACCACCAGAUGAUGGUUAGAGAGGAGGACGUACAUAAGACUGCUUUUCGGAUUCGGUAUGUCACACCUCCAAACCUGAACGGCGGAAACGUUCGGGGGCGGAUGACUUCAUGUGGUAACGUAACAAAUGAAUACAUAGUAAAGAAAGCAAUACAACCAUCAUAUAUAUAAUUGAAAGUUUACAUUUGUCAAAAGUUACAUGUUCAAAACCAAUUACAAUAUGAUGUCAAAAUACGAGAUUAAACUGGUGCCGCAGCAUCCCUUCAUCAAAAGCAAAAUGAAUACCUGAAAUUUACUGAUUUCCUGGGACAUACAAGUAAAUUUUGAAAGAGUAGAUCAGCAUUUAAGCUGGUGAGUUUCAUAAGUAUUUAAAUGACAAUGUUUGAAUGAAUUCAAAUGUUUUGUCUUUGUUUGUUUGUGUUUAGAAAAUCCUAUAUUUUCUACUAGUAUAAUAGUAGCCUUCACUCAAGACCAAUGUUUGUUUGAAAUGAAAUGUUUUGUCUUUGUUUGUUUGUGUUUAGAAAAUCUUAUAUUUUCUACUAAUAUAAUAGUAGCCUUCACUCAAGACCAAUGUUUGUUUCUAAAAUGUAUGUAAGUGUAAAAUAACCAAUGAGUUUGAAAACCUUGUAAAUCAAUGCAUUUUUAAUACCCCUUGUGAGUUUUAUAACCAUACUAUUGACUCGGAAUGCCUAUACACAACGUUCUUCAGGCGUUGGAAUGUUAUGACGUUUGUCACCCCAAACGGUGGACUGCAGCUAACAGUCAGGGCGCGGGUUGUCAAGCCCGUAUAGAUCUAUACACAAACACCAUGCUCCCCCUCCAAGGGAUUCUGGUAUAUAAUACAGGACUUGAAAUGUGUACUCGAACGUACAUGAAGUUAGUGUCUCACAAAACCGUGGUAUAAAAACAGAUCUACUUGUUAAAAUGUUACGUUUGUUCUUGUAUACGAAAGUAAACUUCUUGAAAUUCAUGUUUCUAGUACAUAAGAGUUAGAAAUUUGUUCGUAAAACUAUACCUAUUAUAGUUUUCUAAAAGUGUGUCUUGUUUGUUUAGAAAUACCUAGAAAAGAAAUCACUUGUUUAUGAAAGCAUAGAUUUUUGGUGUAGAGUCUAAGAUAGACAAGAAUAAUCUAAGAAAAGUUUAGUUUAUACAUGCAUUACAACAAUGUAUAUUUCAAAAGAUAGAAUGCUAUUUUAACAUAUUUUAUAUAUAUGAAAGUUCCUUAUAAAGUUUGUAAAUCGCAUGUGAUUUGGAUAUAUAAAAGCAUAUAAAAGAGUUUCUUUAUGUAACACACGAUAAUACUCGUGUGUUUUACUUGUAAUCCCCCCCUUGAAAGCAUAUAAAAGAAUUUAUAAAAUAUUUAAAAGGUAAAUUAAGGGGUAUGAACUCACUUGAAAGUUUGAAGAUAGCGAGAUGGAAAACCGGGCAGAGUUUCGUCUCGGGAAACGGAUUUUCCUCGGGAUUCUCGGGAAUCUCGGGAGUAAAAUCGACCCUCGGGACUUGAGCAAAAAGACCAGAGCUUCGGGUUUGAACGGGCACGGAAAACGAGGCAAGAUUGUGAGAGAGAGGAGAGAAAUGAGCCCUUUUCUCGGAAGCCCUCGCAUCCUAUUUAUAGGAAGGCUGGACUGCCUCGGUACGCGGGGCGUACGCUCGUACGCAGCGCGUACGCGUACGUCAUGCAUGACCGAAGCCUCGACUGCCUCGGCUUCGGAUGGGACGGGUUGCUGGGGAGGCGGGUCGGAUGGGACGGCGGGUCGGACGGGACAGCGGGUCGGACGGGUCGGACGCUUCGGACGGGUCGGACGGGUCGGACACCUCGGAUAACGCGACGUGGACGAUCAGAGGCCAAGUCUCUCGGGUACGCAGGGCGUACAGGGGUACGCAGCGCGUACCCGGAUGAGGACGCUGACUCCUCUUCGGAUAAGGUCCGAAUUUUGAAUUAAAUAAAUAUAUAAUUUAUUUAAUAAACUUCAAAAAUUCAUAUCUUCUUCAUACGAACUCCGUUUUCGAUGGUCUUUAUAUCCACGCGUAGGUGAGACUACGCUCUACAACUUUCGUUUAGACUCCGUCGGCAAAUUCCGAAAUUAUUUUUUUAUUAUUUAUUUUAAACUCAUCGUGUUUAAGGAAUUUCUUUGAAAAUUCAUAACUUCUUUAUCUGAUGUCGGUUUUUGCCAGACUUUUUACCGCUGGAAUACCAUUGUCGAGACCUUCGAUUCUCGUUUAGGUCAUUCCGGCCAAAAGUCGCUCGAUCUCCGAUUCGAGUUUUUAGCUGUCUGUUGCUAAGCCGAACUUGGAAAAAUCAUAACUUCGCUAUAUGAAGUCGGAUUUGGGCGUUCUUUUCACGUACGAUCAUGGUUCAAAGACAUUUAAACAUAGAAGGAAAUUAAAUAGAACUAUUUGUACAUUUUAUUAUGAAAGUAAAUUUUAUUACUCAAAAGUGGUUACAAUACUUGACCCUUUUUGGUCAUUACAAAUAGUUGAAAUAUCGGGUUGUCACACGGUAUGGCCUUUACGAGUUCGUGCUGAUGCCUUUCGGGCUCACCAAUGCUCCUGUCGCGUUCAUGGACCUCAUGAACCGCGUGUGCAGACCGAUGUUGAAUCGGUCUGUGAUAGUUUUCAUUGAUGACAUCUUGGUUUAUUCUAGGACAUAGGAGCAUCAUGAGGAGCACUUGCAGGAGGUGUUAGAUAUCCUGAGGAGGGAGAGCUUGUAUGCCAAGUUCUCCAAGUGUGAGUUCUGGUUGCGUGAUGUGUAGUUUCUUGGGCGUCUUGUCAACCAAAACGGGAUUUUGGUUGACCCGGCCAAGGUGGAGGCCGUGAUGAGAUGGGAGGUUCCGUUGGAUAUUAUGUUGUGGAAAUGGGAAGAUAUCACUAUGGAUUUCAUCGCAAAGCUUCCCAGGACUGCACGGGGAGUAGAUUCGAUUUGGGGUCAUCGUGGAUCGGUUGACCAAGAGUGCCCAUUUCAUACCGAUCCAGAAGAGCAUCUCGGCCGAGAAGUUGGCCGAUAUCUAUAUACGAGAGGUAGUAGCUCGGCAUGGAGUGCCAGUUUCAGUGAUUUCGGACCGAGACGUGCGAUUUACUUCGAGAUUCUGGAAGAAGUUUCAUGAUGAGUUGGGUACUCGUCUGCAAUUCAACACUGCUUUUCACCCACAGACGGACAGUCACUGUGAUUGGACCAUCUAGACUCUGGAGGAUAUGUUGUGGGCGUGUGUUUUAGACUUCGGGGGUAGUUGGGAUACUUACCUUCCUUUGGCUGAGUUUUCCUAUAGUAACAGCUAAGUAUUGACCGUCCUCCCUUCGAGAUGUUGUACAGGAGGAAGUGCAGGACCCCGAUAUGCUAGGGUAGGAUGGCCAGAGGGUCAUGGGGAGUACCGAAGUGGUACUUAAAACGACGGAGAGGAUCCAGCAGGUGCGCAGUAGACUUCAGACUACUCAGAGUUGGCAGAAAAGUUAUGCCGACAGGCGUCGUAUGGACCUGGAGUUCCAGGUCGGGGAUAUGGUGCUCCUGAAGGUGUCGCCUAGGAAAGGCAUCAUACGGUUCAGGAAGCGGGGCAAGUUGGGCCCCAGGUACAUUAGACCUUUCAGGUUGUAGCCCAGGUGGGCAAGGUGGCAUAUAGGUUGAACCUGCCAGCUGAACUCAGCCAGAUUCAAAGUACUUUUCACGUCUCCCAUUUGUGGAAGUGUCUGGUGGACGAUUCAGCAGUGGUGCCUUUGGAGGAUAUUCAGGUGGAUGACAGCCUGAACUACAUCGAGCAACCAGUAGCUAUCCUCGACAGGAAGUCGAAGGAUCUAGGAAACAAGAGGGUGGAACUAGUGAAGGUGCAAUGGUAGCACCACAAGGGCUCAGAAUGGACUUGGGAGCCGGAGGACGAGAUGAGAGAGCACUACCCCAAGCUUUUUCUAGAUUCAGCAGCAGACUUCAAGGAUGAAGUCUAAAAUAAGUGGGGAGAUUUGUAACACCCGGUUCCUGGUACGUAUGUAAAUUCAAUUAUUGUUCUAUUUUACUCUAGGACUCGGCGAGUUGGAGGCCCAACUCGUCAAGUAGACUCGACAUUAUGCGGGGAUUUUAAGUGACCUACUCGGCGAGUCGGGAGACCAACUCGACGAGUAGGAGCUUUCUGGACAAAACCCAAAUAUUUAGGGUUUACACCCUAUUUAAACACUUUAUCUCGUCGUAAACCAGCCUCCAUCACCCUUCUAACUCAGAGAAACCCUAGACAAAAAGCCUAAACCCUUAUUGAGUGUUCUUAAGCCUUUUUGGUGAUUUUGGUUUGUGUUUGAAGUUAGAGAAGAAGAAGAAGGCUUGGAGGUUCAAGUAAAAGCAAGGAGAUCCAGAAGUUUUACUUCAUUUGCAGCUCAUUCAAGGUAAAAAGUUGGAACCUUGACCAUCUAUCCCUUAUAUUUUAAGUUGGGGCUAUUUCUAACCUUUUUAUGAGUUUAGAGAAGCAAAAAGCGGAUUUUGUUGGUGUACUUAGAGUUGCACUUCGGAUCUGAGGCUAUUAGGGGUCUUUAUGGCAUAAAGGUGCCAACUUUGUUGCCAUAAACACUCCAUUCAUCUUGUAUACAUCCUUUUAUGGCUUUUUGAGCCAAAGACCCCAUGCAUGUAGAUCAAGUUUGUAGCUUUACGUAUGAAAUGGACCCUAGGUGACCAAAUCUAUGGUUUUGAUGUGUUAAGACCCAUUAUAAUCGACUGAAUAGUUUUGGACAAAGAACGACUCAACGAGUCACUUAGGUGACUCGGUGAGUCGGGUCGCUUUUUCCCCCAAAAACGCCUUCCGGAAAUGGUUUUGGUUGAGUGGCAGGAACACUCAGCCUGUUAGGGGUUUGUUUUGGACCUGGAAAUCAUAGGAAUCGGGGAGUGUACGAAUAGACUCAGCGGGUCCAAGGCAAUGUCCCAACCUCAUGAAGAUUGACUCUACGAGUUCAUGGAGAACUCGGCAAGUCAUAGGUUAGACUCAUUCAUUCGGAUGAAGAUGAACUUGGCGAGUUCAAGAAAGAACUCGGCGAGUCGGUUGAAGAUAGUCAAAAGGUGUUCUUGAAGAUGAACUCGUCGAGCUCUUGCUAGACUCGGCGAGUAAGGGCGAGAUUAUAGCAGUAGGUGGACAUGGGGACUCGACGAGUUGGUGGAUCAACUCGUCGAGUCGGGUCAAUCAGACGUUGACUUUGAGUAAGGUUUGACCUUGACUUUAACUGGGAUUGGGUUGACCCUUGUAAGGGAUUAUGAGUAUGUAUUAGUAAUCGAGAAAGGUUGUUGUAUAGGGAUUGAAGAGUAGAGACGAGUUGAUUCCCGUACCAAGGACGGUGCAAGUACUACACUACAUCAAGGUGAGUUACCUUCCAGUAGAAAUGGGUCUAAGGCCACAAUGUCGGCCCAUCAUUAGGAGCUUCUUAAUAGAUGAUUGUCUUUGUGAUAGUUAUCUAAGUUUGCUAUUAUCUGUUAUGUUUUAUGUGCUAGCAUUAUAUGACGUUACAUGAUAGUGGUAGUAGGGGGAAUAGUCCCCGGUUACCGGUCGAUAGGGACAAUGUUGGGUCAAAAAUAUGGUUUAUACUUUGCUUUUCUUGGAAAAUAUAUUUUUCUGUAAUUUUGUGGCUGUGUACGGCUGCACAUGUGUGUGCGGUCGCACACCCUGUGUACGAUCGCACACGCGUGUGCAGCUGUACACUCGUGUGUUGCUGGUGGCCCAUAUCUUAUAUAUACAGGGUNUAUAUAUAUAUAUAGGGUGAGGAGUGUACGGCUUGAAGAGAGAGAAAGGAGAGCAUAUUGUAGAGAGAGAAAGUUAGAGAGAAGAAUAGUGUGUGUGAGAGAAUCUAUUGUAAGGAGCAUCAUUCAUAUUAUUGAAUACAUCAUUAGAUUCAUCUUAAUUCUUCUUCUUCUUCUCUUCUAUUUGAUCUUACAUCAUCCAAUUGAUUGGGAUUCCGCACCAUCAAUUGGAUCUGAUUGAUACACAAGUAGAUCAGGGACUUACAGCCAAAGCAGGGGGGGGUAGCCUAGUACCCAACUAUGCUAGACAGUAUGUUUAUGUUAUUUUAUGUAUUUAUGUGGUAGUGGUAGGAGGUGAAAUAGUCCCCAUAACCGGUUGAGAUACACCGGAGGGUAGGUCGGCACCUAGAUAUGUCUGACAUGCUAGGUCGGGCACCCAGAUAUGCCUGACAGGGUAGGUUGGGCACCCAGAUAUGCCUGGCAGUAUGUGAUUUGUAUAGUAUGUGGUAUGAUGGGGGAACUCACUAAGCUUUUGUGCUUACAGUUUUUAGUUUUGUUUCAAGUACCUCUUCAGUGAAGGGGAAGGAGUCAGCGCGGUAGCUGUACAUGACACACUCAUCAGCUUUCCGCAUUUUGUGACCCAUGGGAUUGUAUUCUGAAUUUUACUACUACUUGAUGAUACGAUUUUGAGACAUGAUUGCUAUAAUGUUAUGGAUUGUUAUAUUAUCGACUAUGUUUUGUUAAAUAAUUUUCUAAGUUAUAUAAUUAAAAAUGAAAAUUUUGGACUCGAAUUUUGGGAUGUUACACUAACUUCAGUUAUGGUUGCAUCUCCAAUUGUGGUAGACAAAAACAAGAUUGCGAAUCAUUAAGUUAAAGAGGGUCACUUUUUGUAUCAACAUAAUUCAUAAAAAAAACUCGAUGUCAAACUAAAAGUUAAAAUUUUAUGAUAAUAUAAUAACUUUUUUUCUUGCAAUAUGUUCUUAAGGUUAUCAUAAAAGAUAGAAUCAAAAGUAUGUCCUUAAGGUUAGACAAAAUUGCAUAAAAUAGUCUUUGUGGUAGGCAAAAUUAUGUGGUAUUGGUUCAAAAAGUUUUGGUGGUGCAUAUGUUGUCCAAUUUUGGAUACCUUAUGCGGUUUUCAUUCCUAUGAUUGAUAAUUUUGUGUGUUUUUAGUCCAGAACCAAUCUAAAAUGACCAAUAUACUUAGAUAAUUCUUUUUUAUUUUCUUUUAAUUAAUUUCUUAUUAUUUUAAUUAAAAAAAUAAAUACAUUUCUCUCUCUCUCUCUUAACUUUAGUUAACAAUAUCCUUGUAACAACCCACAUUUAAAUGAAACUCAAACUAAUCGAAACAAGCAAAGCAAAUUGAUGAACCCACUAACCAAAGCACGUAAACAACUAGCAAUUAACACACAAUAACACAACCACAUUGGAACGAGAGAAUACCAAAUAACAUUGAAACAAAAGUGUAAAACUGAUAUGAACAAAAAUCAAAUUCUAAGUGAGCUUAUUGUGACUGAGUGAUGGAUGGGUGUUACAUGCAUGAAGGAGUAUAUGACUAUUGCCCGCCUGUAACCCGGACUGGAAAGAGAAAGAGAUGGUGCGAUUGUGAACUAUAACAUCCUGUUUCAAGAAGUUUCAUAUUUCGGGAUUUUGACAAUAAAUGGAUCAAGUAAAGGCCUUGGACUUCAAGUGAAUAAGGUUUAGACACUACUAGAUGUUGAUAAUAAUGGUUAUACGAUCCAAGCCCUUGGUUUGUGUUUUGGAGUCAAAGGGUAAAAUGGGAAAAGUGAUGUUUAACAGCCCAAAAACCGGAUAGAAACCUUUCAUUUCAAUUAAGAAUUACAACCAUAAUUUGUUUCUAAAAUCCACUACAAAACAAAUAUGUCAAAUUAUCAGAGUAACAACAUCAGUAAGUGUGAAAAUAGUGGAGAGUGAAUGAUGCGCCAUCAAGUCAGGCCCUUCCCUUUUGUACAAGAAGUAUCUGAAACCACAAUACAAAUUGUAAGCAGAAGCUUAAUGAGUGUUCCCAAAAUAUCACAUAACAUACAAACAACUGACAUGGGCUACUCCCAUGGUUUUUUCCCUUAAAUUCCAUGGGAUACCCCAAUGGUUUGAUAUCCAGGUUCCAUGGGCUACCCCCUAUGGUCUUUCAUGCCAUGGGCUACCCCCAUGGUCUUCCAUACAAGUGCCACGUGCUACCCUUGAGGUCUUUCAAAAAAGCAACCACAUAGACAACAAUAAUUCCACAUGAUAAGUAAUAGGAUAACAUUGGUGCCUUCGACCCAUGGAUAUAGUGAGAAGACUCACCUCAACUACUAAAAUCCUAAACAAAUACUUUGGUUGCUAAGCUGAAUAAAAUCCCAUGCUAACUAGACAAAUAGGUCCCAAACAAUAAGGUCAAAAUCCGAACUAAUACUUUCAAAUAAAAAUAAUGCCUGAGAUGAGAUAGGUCAAACUAGUCCCAAAUCCCAUAAAUAUCUAAAGUCCAAUCCGUUGGAUUAGUUAAGGCCCAGGAUGGCCCAACAGCUGGAAAGGCCCUACGGAAAAAUACCCAAGGCUCAAACCAAUUAACCAAGCCCAUCAACCUAGCCCAAAAUGCAAUUACUCCAUAUAUGGGUCAUACGCUCAGCAUACACAGUGGUACGCAUAGUGUAGCAAGUCGAAGCGGGAAAAUGUUGUUGGAUUUGGUGUCUAAGCCCAUAACUAUAACUAGGAUGUACUUGACCCGAUUGUAGCAUGGUCCUUUUGGGUUGCCUUCACCAGUGCAAUUUGAUAGGAAGGACUUUUGAGAAUAAGGUUAUUUAUGCUUUAUUAAUAUAUUACAAGUAUAAUAUAUUAAUAUGAAAUCAUAUUAUUUAAUUAGUAUUGAUCAAGAAUUAAUUUGGAAUUAAUUUUGUGAUCUAAAGAGACUAAUUAAAUAUAUGGGGAUUGAUUUUGUAAAUCAAUGAUCCUUAUAGUGUGGGCUAAUGAUCCAUGGUUAUUUAGGAUGGGCUAAACCAAUGAGAUAAUCCAUGGAUAGUCCAUGGAGGUGAACCCAUGGAGCCUAAGUAAUAUGAAAGGUCAUUAGGGUUUACAAGGUGUAACCUUAGCAUUUGCUACACUAUAAAUAAACCCCCUAGAGCCAAAUACGGUUGCCACAACAUUCUUGGAGAGUGUGUAUUGAUUUUGUGUUGAGUAACUUAUUCUCUCAAGCCUCCUCUUGCAUAUUGGUGUUUGUGAACCAUUAGAGUAAUCACACUUGAGGUGCUCAAGCUUUCAAAGGUCAAGAACUACAACUCCUUCUAAGAGGUAAGUUAUCUACCUGGUUGUACUGAUCAAUUGUCAAUUUGUAUGCUAGUUAGCAUGUAUGCUUUGGAAAAAGAAAAUAUGGAUGUAUAAUUAGAGAAAAUGUAGAUCCAAAGCAUUUAGGGUUGUAUGUGCACCAUAGGAAUGUUAUAGUGCUCAAAACCCAUCAGUGGUAUCAGAGGCUAGGAUUGUUUUCUUUUAUACUUGAUGCUUGUUAGUUUUCAAAGUUGAAAAAAUCAAAUUUUUGGCCUCUGACUGAUGAACUCGUCGAGUCCACUGGCUGACUCGACGAGUCCACUCAGUAACAAGCGCAACUCAACGUGUCAAUUCAUGCACUCGUCGAGUCCAUGGCUCUGGUGGCAAAAUUUCGAGUUUUCUUGGCCUAGAUUGGGUUGGAAUCACUACUACAAAUUGUUUUACAUCAUUAAAUUUGUUUUUAUGAUAUGAUAGUGAUUAUGCUCAUCCAAUCACAAGAUAAUUGUCAAAGUUUUAAGAUAAUUGUUGAUUUAUAUGAUAAAAAAAAGUUUCUUGCAAAUUAUUGACUUGAUAUUAUCUUGUUUAGGAGUUUAGUUAUUUCAAUCUUGAAUUAUAUGAUAAUUUUAGUUGUUGAAAAUUGAUCUAAAUGAAUUUUAAUGACCUCCAUAACUUGUCCUCAAGUUAUGGAAAAUGAAAAGUCUCAUCUUUAAAAAUGCAUUAAACUCAUAAGUUACGAAUUCCAAGAGUAAUCAAAAGAUAGUUGUCAAAAUUCUUAUGAUAGUUGUUAGUUUAUAUGUUAAGCCAAUUACUUGUAUCAUUUGAUUUGAAACUAUUUUGCCUUAUGAGUUAGUUUAGAUCAAGAUUAAAGAAAUUAUAUGGUAAUUUUUCUUGUUAUAAUUGAUCUAAAUGUUCUUUAAUGGGUUCCAUAACCUGUCCUCAAGUUAUGGAACAUGAAACGUCUUAUCAUAAAUGUUUUAAUGAACUCCAUAAUUUGUCCUCAAAUUAUACAAAAUCAAGAGUCUUUUCAUAAAAACAACAUUAAACUCAUAAGUUAUAGAAUUGAAGAGUUUUGACAAGUUUCAAAACUUGCCCUCAAGUUUUGGAAUUUGUAAAGUCUCACUAAUAAAACUUUAAUUCCAAACUCUAGAGUUUUAAAAGUUAAAAUUCAACCUUUAUAUUAAAAGUUGUUAUUAUUAUUAUUAUUAUUAUAUANNNNNNNNNUAUAUAUAUAUAUAUAUAUAUACAUAUAUAUAUAUAUAUAAGACAAGUCAGUCUUACCCUUAGUAUGCCUCAUUCACGAAGUCGGUCUAUAAGGGGGGAGGGGGUAUAAGGUUACUGCCUGUGACAACCCGAAACUUCUAGCUUGUUUAAACAUUCAAAUUUAUCAGUGUUAGACUCGUUUUGCUUCCAUUUAUCACUGGUUAGGAUCUAUUGUGAGUGUUCUAACUCUAGUGCAUCAAAGGAAUCAGUAUUUGGAAGUGUCAGUUUAAGUUCUAAACUACCUAGCAACUGUAAACCUCCUCAAAAAGGAGUUUACGGUCGAGCCCUUGAGUUUAUCGUCAAUGUGGCCGUAAAUUCCAUGCUAUAUAUACAAACCUUGGCCAUUUUCAAUCACUUUUUACCACUUCCAAGCCUAGAACUCGAUUUCUCUCCCAAGGAUCUUAAGGUUUUGCUUCCAAACUUCAAUAAUAUAAGUGAUUCCUUCCCUUUUGGAGUUAAUACAUCUCUUCUUCUUGAUUCACUCUUGAAUUCAUCCACAAAUCUCAUCAUUUGAGUCUAGAUCUUCAAGAUCCUCAAGAACAUCAAGAACACUUUAGUGUUUUGGGCCGAAAACACCCUUCUUUGCUUCCAAAUUGUAAGUAUCUAUCUUUUAUACUUGUUAUCUAAUUAGGAUACUUGAUUAAGGCCUUGAAAACCAUCACUUUUCCAUGAAAAAAAGGUGUUUACGGUCUAGUGUAUCUCCUUAGACUGUAAACCCUAUGAUCGUAAGGUCAUUAGACCGUAAACACAUGAGAGCUCAUGAUUGAAGAAUACUGCCCGAGGGACGAAAUCCAGAAACUAGAACAAGAACUAUGGAGCCUAACCAUGAAGGGCUCUGACAUGGUUUCCUAUACCGCCAGAUUCGGCGAGUUGGUGGCCCUAAGUCCCAACAUGGUUCACACGGAGGGAAAGAAAAUAGAGAGGUACAUCUGGGGACUGGUGCCUCCAUUCCAAGGGAAUGUCUUGGCUUCAAACCCCACUACAUUUGAUAGUGCCAAGCGAUUGGCACAACGACUCAUUGACCAUGGGGUCCCUACCCCGUCAAUAACAACAACCCUAGCCAUCUCAAAACCCUCCAAAAACGUUGAUAACAAGCGGAAGUUCUGGGAUGACAAGAAGAAAAAGAUCGCUGCACAAAAAGAUGCCAAAAAGUAGUAGGUCGUGGCGGCUCAUGCUGCGAUAGCACCUGCCGCUGCUGCUCUGAUAAGCAGUACACGGGGAGUUUGCCGAAGUGCAAAAAAUGCAGCUUCCACCACACUUGAGCCUGACGGGAAAUGCAGUGUUCUAACUGCAACAGGAAGGGGCACACUGCCCGUUUCUGCAAAUCCCCAGCAAGGCCAAUCAACCAAGUCCCCGGCGCUGGUGUGGGCCAGGCUUGCUACGGUUAUGGCGAAGUGGGCCACUAGAAAAGGAACUACCCGAAGGCAAGGAAUGUUGGUGGAUUAGGAAGAGUUCUUUCUAUAGGCCACGAGGAAGCAGUUGUCGACCCCACAGUGGUCAUUGGUACGUUUCUACUCGAUAACUCUUAUGCAUGCAUUCUGUUUCACAGUGGAGCGGAGAGGAGUUUCGUGAACCAAAAGUUUGCUCACUUACUUAAACAAAAAUCACGAACACUUAAAGAACUGUUCACUGUAGAAAUGGCUAAUGGGAAGACUGAGAGCACUAGCAGUAUAUACAUAGGAUGUACUCUAACUCUAGAUAGCCAUUCAUUUUCAAUCGACCUCAUGUCAGUCUUAAUUAAAAGUUUCGAUGUCAUUAUCAGCAUGGAUUGGUUGAGUCUACAUCGUGUCGACAUCAUGUGUUAUGAAAAGGUUGUUCACCUUAAUCUGCCGUCUGGAGAAACUCUAGUAGUCUAUGGCGACAAACUCGGCAUGAACCUUCGUGUCAUCUCGAGUAUUCAAGCCCAGAAGUACUUGAGAAAGGAAUGUCGCACAUUCCUUGCUCAUGUUGUUGAUGUGAGCCAAGAGAUGAAGGACAUUAAGAACAUCCAAGUAGUACGCGAUUUUCCCGACAUCUUUCCAGAAGAACUUCCAGGAUUACCUCCACAACGUCAAGUCGAGUUNUUACCACAACGUCAAGUCGAGUUCAGAAUCGACUUAGUUCCAGGGGCUAUCCCAGUAGCCAAAUCGCCCUAUCGUCUAGCAACUGCAGAGAUGCAAGAACUGUCCGGUCAAUUUAACGAACUACUCAGCAAGGGCUUUAUAAAACCAAGCUUCUCACCCUGUAGAGCUCCGGUCUUGUUCGUCAAAAAGAAAGACGGAUCGUUUCGUAUGUGCAUCGACUACAGGGAACUCAACAAGCUUACCAUUAAGAGUCGUUACCCUCUGCCUUGCAUAAAUGAUUUGUUCGACCAAUUGCAAGGGGCGAAUUUAUUUUCAAAGAUAGAUCUGAGAUCCGGGUAUCACCAGUUACGAGUGCUAGAGGAGGAUGUUCCAAAGAACGCCUUCCAAACUCGUUAUGGACACUACGAGUUUGUAGUGAUGCCAUUCGGAUUGACCAAUGCACCCGCAGUAUUCAUGGACUUAAUGAAUCGGGUAUGUCGUCCUUACUUGGAUCAGUUCGUCAUUGCCUUCAUUGAUGACAUACUUAUCUACUCUCGUAGUAAGGAAGAGCAUAUUAAGCAUCUAUGUCAGAUCUUGGAAACAUUACGAUCAGAGAAGCUCUACACAAAGUUCUCUAAAUGCGAGUUUUAGAUCCGAAGAGUCGAAUUUUUGGGUCAUGUUGUUAGUGAAGAAGGAAUUUAUGUGGACCCUUCCAAAAUGAAAGCUAUUGAGAACUGGUCAGCACCGAAUACGCCUAUAGAAAUUCGUCAAAUUCUAGGCCUCACUGGCUACUAUCGUAGGUUCAUUCAGAACUUCUCUCGAAUUGCGAAACCUCUUACGACUUUGACCCAGAAGGGCAUGGCCUUUUAUUGGUAAGAAAAGCAAGAGAAAGUGUUCCAUAUGCGGAAACGAGCCUUAUGCACCCCAGUGAUACUAUCCCUCCCAAAAGGAAUAUAAGACUUCGUGGUCCACUACGAUGCAUUCAAUUAAGGGCUUGGUUGUGUUCUGAUGCAACGAGGUAAGGUCAUUGCCUACGCCUCAAGACAGCUGAGGACACACGAGGUUAACUACACCACGCAUGAUCUUGAGUUAGGAGCAGUUGUGUUUGCUCUGAAGAUCUAGAGACACUACCUAUGCUGUAGGAAGAGCACUAUCUUUACAGACCACAAAAGCCUACACCAUAUAUUCGACUAGAAGGAGCUCAACAUGAGACAAGGACGGUGGGUCGAGCUACUCAGUGAUUACGAAUGCCAAAUUCGUUAUCAUCCCGGCAAGGCCAACGUAGUAGCUGACGCCCUAUGUCGGAAAGAAUACUUUAGUCGUAGAGUCAAAUCAUUGACUAUGAAUAUCCAUUCACACUUGUCCACACAAAUUAAGGAGGCUCAGCUCGACGCUUUGAAACCUGAAAAUGUGGCGAGUGAAUCCCUGAGAGGGAUGGAUAAGAACUUGGAAGUCAAGGGUGGCGAAGCCUUAUAUUUCAUGGAUCGGACCUGGACACCGAAACACGAUGCCUUCAGAGACUUGGUCAUGACCAAAGCCCACAACACUCGAUAUUCCGUCCACCCAGGUUCGGAUAAGAUGUAUCUGGAUCUUAAAAAGUUACACUGGUGGCCUAACAUGAAAGCAAAGAUUGCUACCUUCGUAAGUAAAUGUCUUACUUGCGCCAAGGUCAUGGUCGAAUACCAAAAACCCUCAGGUUUACUACAGCAAUCAUAGAUACUGGAAUGGAAAUGGGAGUGAAUCACAAUGGACUUCAUAACCAAGUUGCCCAAGACUAGGGGUGGUCUCGUUACCAUUUGGGUGAUCGUAGAUAGGUUAACAAAGUCCGCACACUUCCUGCCCAUCAAAGAGACUGACAAGAUGGAGAAGCUCACAAGAACAUACAUCAGGGAGAUCCUACGACUGCAUGGUCUUCCUACAUCAAUUAUCUCCAAUAGAGAUAGUAGAUUCACUUCGAGGUUCUGGCAGUCUCUACAAAGUUCCCUUGGAACGAGGUUGAUCAUGAGUACAACCAUUUAUCCACAGACCGACGGACAAAGUGAGAGAACUAUCUAAACCUUGGAAGAUAUGUUGCAAGCCUGUGUGAUCGACUUUGCGAAGACAUGGGAUACUCAUUUACCCCUUGUCAAGUUUUCCUACAACAACAGUUAUCACACGAGCAUAAAGGUUGCUCCAUUUGAAGCCCUUUAUGGCCGAAAGUGCAGAUCCCCUCUGUGCUGGGCUGAGGUGGGUGACACCCAGUUAGCUAAAGGAUGAGUUCCUGACAACACUCUCAUAGGUCUGGAGAUCAUUCGGGAAAUGACAGAGAAGAUCGUUCAGAUUCACGAACGAUUGAAAGCCUCUAGGGACCGACAGAAAAGUUAUGCUGACAAGAGAAGGAAUCCUUUGGAAUUCCAGGUGGGAGACCGCGUUCUUUCGAAAGUCUCACCCUGGAAGGGUUUGACACGCUUCAGAAAGCGUGGGAAUCUCAAUCCAAGAUACGUAGGGCCUUUCGAGAUUCUCGCUAGAAUCGGCCCUGUAGCUUACAAACUCAACCUACCUCGCGAACUUAGUAACGUACAUUCUACUAUCUACCUCUCGAACUUGAAAAAGUACCUAUCCAAUGAGACUCUUGUAAUCCUACUCGAUGAGAUCGAGAUCAACGAGAGCCUCAACUUUGUUGAAGAACCUGUAGAGAUCAUGGACCGAGAGGUCAAGCAAACAAAGCAAAGUCGUAUCCCGAUAGUGAAGGUUCUCUGGAACGCCAAGCGGGGACCUGAAUUCACUUGGGAGUGCGAGGAUCAAAUGAAAUUGAAAUAUCCUCAUCUUUUCGCUUAGUUACUUGUAACUAAUUAAUUGCUUAAAUUCUAAUUUCGAGACGAAAUUCUCUCUAACGGGGGGAUGAUGUGACAACCUGAAACAUCUAGCUUAUUUAAACAUUCAAGUUUAUCAAUAUUAGACUCGUUUUGCUUCAAGUUAUCACUGUUUAGGAUCUAUUGUGAGUGUUCUAACUCUAAUGCAUCAAAGGAAUCAGUAUUUGGAAGUGUCAGUUUAAGUUCUGAACUACCUAGCAACCGUAAACUUCCUCAAAAAGGAGUUUACGGUCGAGACCUUGAGUUUACAGUCAUGGUGGCCAUAAAUUCCAUGCUAUAUAUACAAACCUUGGCCAUUUUCAAUCACUUUUUACCACUUCCAAGCCUAGAACUCGAAUUCUCUCCCAAGGAUCUUAAGGUUUUGCUUCCAAACUUCAAUAAUGGAAGUGAUUCCUUCCCUUUUGGACUUAAUACAUCUCUUCUUCUUGAUUCACUCUUGAAUUCAUCCACAAAUCUCAUCUUUUGAGUCUAGAUCUUCAAGAUCCUAAAGAACAUCAAGAACACUUUAGUGUUUUGGUCCGAAAACACCCUUCUUUGCUUCCAAAUUGUAAGUAUCUAUCAUCUAUACUUGUUAUCUAGUUUAGAUACUUGAUUAAGGCCUUGAAAACAUUCAUUUUUCAUGAACAAAAGGUGUUUACGGUCUAGUGUAUCUCCAUAGACCAUAAACCCUUAUUAAGGGUGCAAAUGAGGCAUUAAACCCUCCUAAAGCUUAUAAUGGAACCUAGAACCCUUCUACAAGCUUGAAUGCCACUAAAAAUCACUCCUAUGAACAAAAUGACAUGAGUUUACGGUGGUAAACUCAUGGACCGUAAGCCCUAUGACCGUAGGGUCAUUAGACCGCAAACUCAAUGGACCGUAAACCCAUUGAACCGUAAACACAUAGGACCGUGAACCACUUUGACCGUAAACUCUUAUGGUCAUGCCACUUGGACCGAAAACUCCUUUAGGUGGCCAUACACCCUUGGUAUGUAAUCAAAUGUGAUUGUAGCACUUAAAUCUAAGUGUAUCAUAUGUCCUAGGGUGUUUCCUUUCAUGAUUAGUUGUAUAAACACUAAUUAUACGCUUAUAUGUAUCAUUAUACGAUAAAUAGGAUCCAUGUGUGUGCUCAAGUCUUCACUUGCCACUUAGCAUCCUAUACCACUCGUUCAUCCAAACCACUCAUUACAGGUGAUUUCAUACCCCCUUAAUCUACCUUUUAAAUGAUUUUAAAUGCUUUUAUGGGGGGAUACAAGUUGAAACAUUAUAGUUAUUAUAUCAAUCACGUGUGAUUAGUAACUAUCAAACAAAUGGAUUUGCUAUACUUUUAGCUGUUUUAUCAAACAAACUACUUCAAAAUGUUUAUCAAACUCUUUUACAUGUUUAACACUUUAUCAAACUUGUUCUUACAUGCCAAACCUUUUCUUUAAACUCUUUUAAAGUUAUAUAUUGUCAAAACCGUGUCUAAUGCAUAUAUAGUUAUAUAAGUAAGGUUGGAAGGACUUAGGACUGAUAACUCACUUUAUUUCAUGUUCCAUGUUUGGUUGUGGACUUAGAGUACCCUGUUGUUUGUCCGAGUGUCAUUUGAUCCUUAGUUAUAUAUUAUGUCUAUAUUUAUAAGAAAUAAAAGCUUUUAUCUCAGUUCAAUACACUCAGUUAUACAAACAACUUUACUAGUAAACUAUACUAGGUAUAGUUUAGGAAGCCACGAUUCACUAUUUCUAGUACAACGAAACAUACAAGGAGUCAGUUCAUACAUGAAUCAAUACAUACUAUUAUGAGAAACUAAGAGAACAUACUAUUAUGAGAAACAAUACAUACUAUACACAAUACAAGAGAACAUACUAUGAUGAGAAACAAAGAGAACAUACUACAUACUAGACAGAGAGAACAUACACUACACUAGUACAUACAAUACAUAUACAAGAAUACUACAACAUAAAUGCGAGCCACGGUUUCGGGGCAUGGCAUCACUGCUAUGACUCGUUUUGUAACCAGAGUCUCCUGGAGGGAGAGCGUGAAUUUGUGUAUAGAUCUAUACUAGAUUGACUAUCCUACACCUUGAUGUUCGCUACAGUGGGACUUGCAAGUCUACUGGUGCCAAAUGUCAUUUCUUCCGACGUCUUUCAUCGUCGUGUUUUUAGUCGAUAGUAUGGUACAAUCAUAUCACAUUAUACUUUAAUUAACAACCGGUUUAAGGUGGUUAGUACAGCAGUAGUUACCAUAAUACAACACUACAAUACUUUAUUAUUUUCCCAUUGCAUUCACAUUGUGAUAUUCUCACAUAAAUGGUAUUGUAAAAACUAUAUUUUUGGUUAAUGAUAGUCACACUUGGGAAAAUAUACACUUUUACAAGAAACAAACGUACAAAACAUUUGAUGCCUUGGUAGAAGGCUACGUUUAGUAGAGAAAUAGGAUUUCUUAGGAGAUACAAACAUUUACUACAAACAUUUACAAACUUAUACAUCAAACACUUAUAAAUGUAACAACAUGAAUUUCCAAAACAAUUUUUCAUUUUAAAAACAUAAUUUCAUUCAUAACAAAAUCCAUUGUAUCACAUAUUAUCUCAAUAAACAACCCCAGAAUCUCAAGUACAUAAAUCUUCAUCAGUGUGUACAGAUUAUGUCGCCGCCUUCCCGCGAUCGUCGCUAGUACCAGAAACACAUAUCAUAUAACACGGUAAGCAUAAAUGCUUAGUGAGUUCCCCAAAUUACCACAUACAAAACAUACGCCACUCAAGGACAUAGCUCUAUGGGACCUUCCGAUCCAUGUGUCUCAGGGGACUUCCUUCCCAACCCUGGUAAACCUUUUGGUCCUACCCAUAUGACCUUCCGGUCCUCAUCAUCUUGGCUUUCCGGUCCAUAAACUGUUGACCUUCCAGUCCAUAUCAUAAUGACCUUCCGGUACAUAGCAUGAUGACCUUCCGGUCCAUUCCACGCUACUCAUAACAUAACAUAACACAUACAUAUCACAUUUUAACAUAUAUCACAUACUCUGCAUAGCAUAUAAGACCUUCUAGUCAUACAUAAUUACCACUCUAGGUAAAGUAUAGUGAGAAGACUCACCUCGUAUGAAGUCGGAUAAAUUCUCGAGCUCGAAUAUCCUGACCUAGCCUCCUCCUAUCAACAGGAUAACAUCUCUAAUAAAAAUCCACUCAUGUUCUCAUCUCUAAUAAUGGGUAGAAGACCAUUCUACCCCUCUCUGACCUCUCUUGAAUCAGCUUGACAAAAACCACAAGGUCAACUGAAGUCAACUCUAGUCAACAGUCAAACUUUGACCAGACUCGUCGAGUGCACAUGGGUGACUCGACGAGUCCAAGUGUGUCCUCUGGUUGCUUCUAAAGCCUCACUCGACUCGUCAAGUGAACCUUCCACUCGACGACUUACCACUGGUCAUGAAUCGUGGGGCAACCCCGACUCGACUCAUCGAGUUCUCUUAUGGACUCAGCGAGUUUCUUCCAUAGCCACACUCAAAUGACCUUAUGAGGUCAAAUCUGCUUCUCUAACCUAUAGAUCUGACCUUCCAAUACACAAUAAUCAUGUAAAGGUCCAACCUUUACACUCAUGCAACAAUCAUAGGGCUUCUUUUGGUGAAAUAGCUUCUAAAAUGGCAACUUAGGUUCCUAUCUCCAAAGAAAUGGCAUAAAGCAAGAUAGAUAGGACUCUGUGGACCUCUUAAGGUCCAUAUCUAAGAAGAAUUCCACCUUGGGCCCUCAUAUGCUUCGAAUUCAAGUUAAAUAAGGCAUAAGAAAACCCUAGAUUCAAGUAGAUCACCAUAAACACGAGAUUGAGCAUAGAUCCAUACAUCUAGCUGUUGGAUAAGGUGUCUAAGUUCAUAACUAUUUCUGGUAUGUACUUGACCCGACCCGGCAUGGUCCAUUUGGGUUGCAUGGCAUCAUGCAUUUGGAUAGACUAAAUGAGAGAAAUAACACUUGUGGUUUAUUAACAUAUUAUAAGUUAUAAUAUAUUAGUAGUAUUAUUUAAUUAGUAUUGAUCAAGAAUUAAUUUGGAAUUAAUUAAGUGAUCAAAAGAUAACUAAUUAAAUAUAUGGGUUGAUUAUGUAAAUCAUCCAUAACUUGUAUAGUGGGCUAAGAGGCUCCAUGGAUAAUCAAGUUGGGUUAAACCCAUAGGAUGAUCCAUGGAUGCUCCAAGGGAGUUACAAACCCAUGGGUCAUGGAAAUGAAGAGUCAUGACAUAUUAGGGUUUACAUGGUGUAACCCUAGAUGUGUCAACACUAUAUAAGGAACAUACUAUCCACUAAAAUCGGCUACACAAGAACAAGUAAGGGCUAGGCCGAUUUUUGCAAGCGUAAGAUUCUCUCUAAAGUUUACUUCUUUGAAUUUGGUGUUGUGUGAGGCAUUUGAGGCAUCACACUUGUUUGUUGAUUUUUUGUGCAAACUGCUUGAAAAAAUCGAUUUUCUGUCUUCUGCUUAUAUGAACUCGCCGAGUCCAUGAACAAAUGCAAGCUACUCGUCGAGUCUGUUCUUGCACUCGACGAGUAGAGGCUGCAGUUUUAAGAAUUUCGACAUUUGUUGUUGGAAAUGGACUAGAAACAUUACCCUAAACUGUUUUGGUGUUUUAAAACUUGUUUUAGAUAGUGUAAUGUUUAUGCUAAUCUAUUUGCAAUGGCAAUUAUCAAAAUUACAAGUUUUAAGUGUAAUUUUUUGAUUCUUGAAAGUGUUCAUAUUCAUGUUCUUGAACUUAUGAAGAUUUGAUGAUCAUAGGAAUUGUUUGUAACCUUCAUGGUAGUUUAAUUCAUGAUCAUAAUGUGUUUUAAUGGAGUCCAUAACAUGUCCUCAAGUUAUGGAAAACCCAAAGUCUCACUUUUAUUAAAGCCAUUAAAAGAACACAAGAGUUAUAAAAAUGAAGAGUCUUCAUUUUUAUUACUCAAUUAAUUCAUAAGUUAUAAGAAAUGAUAAGUUUUGGAAGUUUACAAAACUUGCCCUCAAGUUUUGGAAAAAUUAAAGUCUUGAUUAAAACUUUAGUUCCAACCCUUAGAUUUUUAAAAGCUAAAAAUCAACCCUUAUACUUUAUAAUAUUGUACGUUAAUAAUAUAUAUAUAUAAGAUCAAGUCGUCUUACCGCUAAUACGCCUCAUUCACGAAGCCGGUCUAUAAGGGGGUAUAAGGUUGUUGCCUAUAAAAUGGCAACUUAAUGGGUGUCCACUCUCACCCACCGCUUCCUUGAUCGGUGGAGGGUCGUUAGCCGAACGGGUAAGACAAGGACUUAUAAAUUCUCAUUAAAAGUAUGAUGAAUAUUAUAAAGUAACUAAAUGUUUUAUUAAAUUCCCAAUCUUAGUUACUUUAGGAAAAAUGUGAAUAAGGUGCUAAUCCAUGAAAUUACACUUUACACUUUGUUUAAGUCGUUGGUAGAGCGUGUGUGCUUAACCGGCACACUAACUUGGACUUAACAAGGUAGGUAAAGGGUGACUUGAGGUUUAUCAUAGUAUCGGUGGAGCGUGUGUGGUUUAACGGCACAUCGAUUGAGUGAUAAACUUUAAGGGUACCAAGUGAUUUCAUGGUUACUUCACACCUCGUUUUGUGAUCCUCGGUAUCCCAGUCACAAAACAUGGAGGGCACACUCGAGAUUGAAACAUGCCUUUGAAAAGUUCAUUGAAUCUCAAAAGAAUCUAGGAAUUUCUAAGAACCAAUUAAAAACCUAAUAUUUAUAUUUUGUUUUUCAUGGUGGAAAUUGGUGAAUCGUCAUUCACCUACCUUUCAAAUAUGUUAUAGCUUGGAUUACGGCAUACCUCUUCUAAGUUAUAAUAUAUUGUGAUUGGAUCCUAGCCUUAAUAUUACAUUUGGGUGUUUUAUUAAGGACUCUCUUAAUAUCUAAACUAAUCUUGUCCUCUUCUUUCAGAUGUCUUCAAACAAUGCUGCUUCUGGCUCUAAUCCUAAUGGCUCCUUUACCCUUAUGAACUUAUGUGGGAAAGUCACUUUUGAUGGAUCCAACAUCAAUGAAUGGAUUAGAAACAUCAGGAUGAUUACCCGCUACGAGGAAAAAGAAUAUGUCCUCGAUAAGGAUCUUAAGGAGAUUGAUGAGACCACUGCAACUCCCCAGGAGUUCACUGACUUCCGGGCACAUGAAAGGGAUGCUACCAAGGUAGCAUGCAUCAUGUUAGCCACCAUGACAGCAGAACUCCAAAAGUCCUAUGAGGACUUCUACCCUUUUGAAAUGCACCAAGAUCUGAUGGAAAGAUACCAUCAAAGUGCACGACAAGAGAGGUAUGAAAUCAUCUGCUCCAUGAUAACAACCAUGAUGAAGGACNAAAAUGCAAAGGUAUGUGGAUCGGUUGCUGAAGCUUAAUGUGAACUUCCCUGAGGAGCUUGCAAUAGAUAUCAUUUUGCACUCCUUACCUUCAUUCUAUGAUCAAUUCCGCAUGACAUAUCACAUGAAUAAGGAAGAGGUCACACUCAGCAAACUUCAGGGACUCCUCAAGUCCGCAGAAAUAGGUCUUAAAGGUAAGUCAGUUGUUAACACUCCUACUCCAAACUCCGCCCCUGUUUUGGCAAUCGGGAAAGGUAGAGGGAAGAAGAAAAAGAGCUCUACGAAGGGUACCAAGGCUAGGACCCUUGAUGGCUCUUCUUCAAGUGGAACCAAGAAAGGUUCCGUCACUCCUUCUCCUGACCCAAAAGAGGCUAAAUGCUUCAAUUGCCAUGAAAAGUCUCAUUUGAAGCGGAACUGCCCAAAGUACCAGCAACAUGUGAAGGAUGGGAAAGUUAAACUCAACCAUGCAUGUAUUUACACUAUCUUAUCUAAUAACUCACCCUGUUCUAACUCUUGGGGUCCUUAAUAUAGGUUGUGGUAUUCAUAUCUGUUCUGAUUUGCAGGGACUAAGAAGAAGUGACAAUGUGGAGUUUAUUCUUUGUCGCUAAGUAGUGGGUUUAGUUUAGAUUUGAAUAAAUGUUGUUAUUUGCUAGAAAUGGCAAGAAAUAUUAUUUCCUUUCAUGCAUUGUAUAAACAAGGUCUUACCUUUUCAUUUGAUAAUGAAGUUGGUUCGAUUAAUGCUUUGUUUAAUAAUGUUCUUUAUUUUAAAGCAUUACCUUGUGAUGGUGUGUAUGAAACUGUAUCUAUUGUUGAUAAUUUAGGAAAUAAUGUGGUGUGUAUUGAUUAUGUUGAUGAUAAUAACUUGGAUAAAGCAUCAUUGUGGCGUUGUCGUCUUGGACAUAUAAGCAAGAAACGCAUAGGCCAACUCCAAAAGGAUGGAGUCUUGGAGUCAUUUGACCUAAAGUCAGAUGAUAGUUACGAAUCAUGCUUACUUGGAAAAAUGACAAAGUCACCCUUCACAGGUUCUUGUGAGAGGGGUGAAGGUUUGUUGGAUCUUGUACACACGGAUGUGUGUGGACCCUUCAAACAUGCCACAAGGGAUGCUAAUCGUUAUUAUUUGACUUUCACUGAUGAUUACAGUAGAUAUGGAUAUGUCUACUUAAUCAAGCAUAAGUCAGAGACUUU